AGUGUAUGUGUGAAUAUAUACUAAGCAAAUAAUCCAAAGCCAUAAAAAAGCUUAGAGAAAUUUUAGGUAAGUACGGGGACAGAAGUGCAAGUGACUGGUGCAAAUAGACUUUUGCAACCAAGGCAGGUUUUCUAGCCUGGCUUUCCAGAAUUUUUAUGUCAUUCCUUGAACAAGGAGCCUUCACAGCAUUGCUGAUUUAUUCUAAGAAUAGAAAUUAACAAAGGAGAUCCUUUAACCAAGUUAUAAAUACUAAAAAGGAAGAUUUUUGUCAGUCUUUAGUAGGUGAAUCUCCCUUAUCACUCAUUCUGAUGUGCUUUUUAAUAUUUACUUUUAGUUUUUCCAAUAUUUAUAAUUUUUCUGGAGACCAAAGACACAAAUUUAGACACAGGAACACACUUGACAGACUGAAUCAUAAGAUAGUUCCUUAGCUGCCCAUCCUUUUUUCCUUUUUAGGCAGUUAUCAAGCAGCCUUCCAUUGCCAUUAGAUUGUAGUAAUCGAUAUAGUCAGAAUGUUUCAAAUUUCCUAGGAGAGAAAAAAUAAAUAACAUAAAGAUGGAGGUGAAAGCCAUCAUUUCAUUUAGUGCAUCUCGAUCAUCAUACACUUGUUGAUCACAGAUGUUUCAAAAAUUUAGUCCCACAAUAAGCUUUAUUCUUCAAAACGUACAGAAAAAAAGUUGAGACUUUAGCUAUGGAAGGGAAGGCUAUUGAUUCCCAGCGAGAUCUGCAUCAUUAGGGAGGCUUCUUAAACUACUGGAGGGUCUUUUCUUACCUUUAUCUAUCCUCUGAAAAGUUCUCAUGAGUAACCAGGAUCCUCUGGUGGCUGACUAGGUGACCUGAAGACCAGACUGAAACAAGUGUGAGAAGUGCAAAUUCUUCAUGCUGUUGGUCCAUAUUUGAUGUGGAAAGUCAUUAAUAAUCUUUAGAAAACAAUACCUAUGUGAGUGAGAUCAAGCUGGUGAAGUAGAAAGACCCUAGACUUAUCUUUUCCCAUGGACACACCAAAAUACAACUACUCACAAAGCAAUUAUCUUUGAGAACGACCUGAAGAGUAUCAGAAAAGACUUUCCACAACUACAGAUAUAAAGAAGGAGCCACAACAAGACAAGUAGGAGGAGCAGAGAUACAGUCUAACUGGGACCCAUAACCUGAGGUUGGCCACCUACAAACAGGAGGAAUAUCACAAGCAUAGAAGUCCUCCUCCAGGAGACAGGGGUUUCGGCCCCCACAUCAAGGUCUCUAUUUUGGAAGACCCACUACAAUCUGUGAAUUAAUGAGAAAACUGAUUUUUGGUUGAUAAAAAGCUCUUGGGAUUUUGAAUUUCCCCAACCAUUCUUACCAAAUUUUGAUUUUGUUGGAGGACUUCACUGAAAACCUGCCAAACCCCUGCACAAGGUCAACCGAAAACCAAAGCUUUUAUCACUCAUGGUGGUGGCAAUGGCAUUCCUGAAGCCAUUUACCAUAUGAUUCCCAUGAUGGGACUCCCUAUGUUUGUUAACCAACCCAAUAAUACAGCUCACAUGGAGGCCAAGGGAAUAGCUACUAGACUUGAACACAAUGUCAAGUGCAGACUUGCUCAGUGCACUGAAGACUGUCAUUUAUGACCCUUUAAAGGAAAUGCUAUGAAGCUAUCAAGAAUUCACCAUGAUCAACCUGUAAGACCCCUGGACUGAGCAGUCUACUGGACUGAGUUUGCCAUAUGCUACAAAGGAGCCAAGCACGUGUGGCCAGCCACCCACAACCUCACCUGGUAGUAGUACCACUCACUGGACGUGAUUGGGUUCCUAUUGGCUUGUGUGGCAACUGUUGUAUUUGUCAUCACAAUAUGCUAUCUGUUUUGGUUCUGGAAGUUUGCUAAAACAGGAAAGAAGGAGAAAAGGGAAUAUCUGUAUCUGAGAACUGGAGCAAGUUUACUCCAUAGAUGAAACUCGUCCAGCAAGAAGGAGUUAUGAUAAGGAUCCUAUCCUCUUGUGACAAAACAACUUUUCACAAUUCAGUACCUCAGAUUAAAGUUUAUUUUCAAGGGAUUUUCUUUUUAAGAGUUGAAAUAUGUCAUGCCAAGAGAAAAGCUCAUGAAAAAUAAAAUAAACAUGAAACUAUAUGGGUCUAUGUUGAAAUUUAUUUUUUUAAUUCAAAAGUUAUAUUGAAAAGAAACAUUUGAACAUAAUAGUGUUUUUCAUGUUGUGUAUAGACAGAAG
Bos taurus (domestic cattle) is the source of this 2195-nucleotide long non-coding RNA. NCBI's taxonomy places the organism in Eukaryota, Metazoa, Chordata, Mammalia, Artiodactyla, Bovidae. The record is from Ensembl.